ACACUCCUACGGGAGGCAGCAGUGGGGAAUUUUGGACAAUGGGCGAAAGCCUGAUCCAGCCAUGCCGCGUGCAGGAUGAAGGCCUUCGGGUUGUAAACUGCUUUUGUACGGAACGAAACGGCCUUUUCUAAUAAAGAGGGCUAAUGACGGUACCGUAAGAAUAAGCACCGGCUAACUACGUGCCAGCAGCCGCGGUAAUACGUAGGGUGCAAGCGUUAAUCGGAAUUACUGGGCGUAAAGCGUGCGCAGGCGGUUAUGUAAGACAGUUGUGAAAUCCCCGGGCUCAACCUGGGAACUGCAUCUGUGACUGCAUAGCUAGAGUACGGUAGAGGGGGAUGGAAUUCCGCGUGUAGCAGUGAAAUGCGUAGAUAUGCGGAGGAACACCGAUGGCGAAGGCAAUCCCCUGGACCUGUACUGACGCUCAUGCACGAAAGCGUGGGGAGCAAACAGGAUUAGAAACCCGAGUAGUCCCA
This 473-nucleotide ribosomal RNA is filed under the name uncultured organism. RNAcentral describes it as "partial 16S ribosomal RNA". It matches the Rfam family "Bacterial small subunit ribosomal RNA", at positions 333 to 797 of the family's 1533-position model. The record is from RNAcentral.